AACGAAUGCUGGCGGCAGGCCUUACACAUGCAAGUCGAACGUGAAAGUCCUUCGGGAUGAGUAAAGUGGCGCACGGGUGAGUAACGCGUGGGAACAUGCCCUUCAGUACGGGAUAACAGCGGGAAACUGCGGCUAAUACCGUAUAUUCCCUACGGGGGAAAGAUUUAUCGCUGAAGGAUUGGCCCGCGUUAGAUUAGCUAGUUGGUGAGGUAAUGGCUCACCAAGGCUACGAUCUAUAGCCGGUCUGAGAGGACGAUCGGCCACACUGGAACUGAGACACGGUCCAGACUCCUACGGGAGGCAGCAGUGGGGAAUAUUGGACAAUGGGCGAAAGCCUGACCCAGCCAUGCCGCGUGAGUGAUGAAGGCCUUAGGGUUGUAAAGCUCUUUUGGCGGGGAAGAUAAUGACGGUACCCGCAGAAUAAGCCCCGGCUAACUUCGUGCCAGCAGCCGCCGUAA
RNAcentral lists this ribosomal RNA (458 nucleotides) under uncultured bacterium. RNAcentral's name for it is "partial 16S ribosomal RNA". It matches the Rfam family "Bacterial small subunit ribosomal RNA", at positions 29 to 523 of the family's 1533-position model. The record is from RNAcentral.